GAUGAACGCUGGCGGCGUGCCUAAUACAUGCAAGUCGAGCGAACAGAUAAGGAGCUUGCUCCUUUGACGUUAGCGGCGGACGGGUGAGUAACACGUGGGUAACCUACCUAUAAGACUGGGAUAACUUCGGGAAACCGGAGCUAAUACCGGAUAAUAUUUCGAACCGCAUGGUUCGAUAGUGAAAGAUGGUUUUGCUAUCACUUAUAGAUGGACCCGCGCCGUAUUAGCUAGUUGUUAAGGUAACGGCUUACCAAGGCGACGAUACGUAGCCGACCUGAGAGGGUGAUCGGCCACACUGGAACUGAGACACGGUCCAGACUCCUACGGGAGGCAGCAGUAGGGAAUCUUCCGCAAUGGGCGAAAGCCUGACGGAGCAACGCCGCGUGAGUGAUGAAGGUCUUCGGAUCGUAAAACUCUGUUAUUAGGGAAGAACAUACGUGUAAGUAACUGUGCACGUCUGGACGGUACCUAAUCAGAAAGCCACGGCUAACUACGU
RNAcentral lists this ribosomal RNA (496 nucleotides) under uncultured bacterium. RNAcentral's name for it is "partial 16S ribosomal RNA". It matches the Rfam family "Bacterial small subunit ribosomal RNA", at positions 28 to 506 of the family's 1533-position model. The record is from RNAcentral.